RNAcentral lists this transfer RNA (73 nucleotides) under Ailuropoda melanoleuca (giant panda). It matches the Rfam family "tRNA". From Rfam's summary of the family: Transfer RNA (tRNA) molecules are approximately 80 nucleotides in length. Their secondary structure includes four short double-helical elements and three loops (D, anti-codon, and T loops). Further hydrogen bonds mediate the characteristic L-shaped molecular structure. tRNAs have two regions of fundamental functional importance: the anti-codon, which is responsible for specific mRNA codon recognition, and the 3' end, to which the tRNAs corresponding amino acid is attached (by aminoacyl-tRNA synthetases). tRNAs cope with the degeneracy of the genetic code in two manners: having more than one tRNA (with a specific anti-codon) for a particular amino acid; and 'wobble' base-pairing, i.e. permitting non-standard base-pairing at the 3rd anti-codon position. Lineage: Eukaryota; Metazoa; Chordata; Mammalia; Carnivora; Ursidae. The record is from Rfam by way of RNAcentral.
ACCUGGCUGGCUUAGCUGGUAGAGCAUGUGACUCCUGAUCUUAGGGUCGUGAGUUCGAGCCCCACGUUGGACG